This 450-nucleotide ribosomal RNA is filed under the name uncultured bacterium. Its description in RNAcentral is "bacterial SSU rRNA". It matches the Rfam family "Bacterial small subunit ribosomal RNA", at positions 354 to 796 of the family's 1533-position model. The record is from RNAcentral.
GUGGGGAAUUUUGGACAAUGGGGGAAACCCUGAUCCAGCCAUGCCGCGUGCGGGAAGAAGGCCUUCGGGUUGUAAACCGCUUUUGGCAGGAACGAAACGGCGCGCGCCAAUACCGCGCGCUAAUGACGGUACCUGCAGAAUAAGCACCGGCUAACUACGUGCCAGCAGCCGCGGUAAUACGUAGGGUGCAAGCGUUAAUCGGAAUUACUGGGCGUAAAGCGUACGCAGGCGGCUAUGCAAGACAGGUGUGAAAUCCCCGGGCUCAACCUGGGAACUGCACUUGUGACUGCAUGGCUAGAGUCCGUAAGAGGGGGGUGGAAUUCCACGUGUAGCAGUGAAAUGCGUAGAGAUGUGGAGGAACACCGAUGGCGAAGGCAGCCCCCUGGGAUGAGACUGACGCUCAUGUACGAAAGCGUGGGGAGCAAACAGGAUUAGAAACCCGGGUAGUCC